Molecule: ribosomal RNA, 397 nt
Filed under: uncultured bacterium
Lineage: Bacteria
Description: partial 16S ribosomal RNA
Rfam family: Bacterial small subunit ribosomal RNA
Source: RNAcentral
AUACGUAGGGGGCGAGCGUUGUCCGGAAUGACUGGGCGUAAAGGGCGUGUAGGCGGCGCUGUAAGUCUGGAGUGAAAGUCCUGUUUUCAAGAUGGGAAUUGCUUUGGAUACUGCAGAGCUUGAGUGCGGAAGAGGUAAGUGGAAUUCCCAGUGUAGCGGUGAAAUGCGUAGAGAUUGGGAGGAACACCAGUGGCGAAGGCGACUUACGUGGCCUUAACUGACGCUGAGGCGCGAAAGCGUGGGGAGCGAACAGGAUUAUAUACCCGGGUAGUCCACGCGGUAAACGAUGAAUGCUAGGUGUUGCGGGUAGCGACCCCUGCAGUGCCGGAUUAAACACAAUAAGCAUUCCGCCUGGGGAGUACGGCCGCAAGGUUGAAACUCAAAUGAAUUGACGGGG